AUGGUCAAGUCAUGGUGAAAACACCAGUUCCCAUUUAAUCACUGAAGUUAAGCAUCAUCUUGUGUGGUUAGUGCUUAGAUGGGAGAUCACUUGGGAACAUUGGUUAGC
This is a non-coding RNA of Acanthosepion pharaonis, 108 nucleotides long. Lineage: Eukaryota; Metazoa; Mollusca; Cephalopoda; Sepiida; Sepiidae. The record is from the annotation of a GenBank genome assembly.